GAUGAACGCUGACAGAAUGCUUAACACAUGCAAGUCAACUUGAACUUCGGUUUGGGUGGCGGACGGGUGAGUAACGCGUAAAGAACUUGCCUCACAGAUAGGGACAACAUUUGGAAACGAAUGCUAAUACCUGAUAUUAUGAUUAUAUGGCAUCGUAUAAUUAUGAAAGCUAUAUGCGCUGUGAGAGAGCUUUGCGUCCCAUUAGCUAGUUGGAGAGGUAACGGCUCACCAAGGCGAUGAUGGGUAGCCGGCCUGAGAGGGUGAUCGGCCACAAGGGGACUGAGACACGGCCCGUACUCCUACGGGAGGCAGCAGUGGGGAAUAUUGGACAAUGGACCAAGAGUCUGAUCCAGCAAUUCUGUGUGCACGAUGAAGUUUUUCGGAAUGUAAAGUGCUUUCAGUUGGGAAGAAAAAAAUGACGGUACCAACAGAAGAAGUGACGGCUAAAUACGUG
Molecule: ribosomal RNA, 454 nt
Filed under: uncultured bacterium
Lineage: Bacteria
Description: partial 16S ribosomal RNA
Rfam family: Bacterial small subunit ribosomal RNA
Source: RNAcentral